This is a small nucleolar RNA of Labrus bergylta (ballan wrasse), 207 nucleotides long. Its record names the gene U3. It matches the Rfam family "Small nucleolar RNA U3". From Rfam's summary of the family: Small nucleolar RNAs (snoRNAs) are involved in the processing and modification of rRNA in the nucleolus. There are two main classes of snoRNAs: the box C/D class, and the box H/ACA class. U3 snoRNA is a member of the box C/D class. The record is from Ensembl. Lineage: Eukaryota; Metazoa; Chordata; Actinopteri; Labriformes; Labridae.
AAGACUAUACUUUCAGGGAUCAUUUUGUUAGUUGUUGACUUGAGAAAUGUGUUUUUAAAGAGGUUCCUCUCACUGUACACGAUGAAGAUUUCAGAUGUUUCCUUCAGAGCAGGAAACUGGUGGGGAGACUUUCUUUCUUUUCCACUGUUGAAGAUUAAUCAAAGAUUCUGAAAGACUCUCUGAUCAAGGAAAUCUGAUCUGAGUGGA